UUCAUAUUUUAGAGUGAGAGCUUGUCUUUUCCCUGUUCUUGCCUAUCCGCGGGCGACACAGUGUUCACACAUGUGGGGGGUUUACUCAGAGUGAUCACAUUUGAACAUUGAUUUGUGAAGUGUUCUGACUUGUUGCAGCAUAUGCAGACUUCUCUGAUGAUUUGAUCAGCAGUGUUCUUCUCUGAGAUGUUGGAGAUCUUUGAAUGACUUGCAUUCACAUGUGAGACUCAGUUCAUUGAUUCUGGUUUGAAGGCAGAGGAUGCUGCAGAGCAGUUUGAAGUGUACAUAUUUGUUUGAUGAAAUUCUCUAUAAUUUUGAAGUGCAU
This 325-nucleotide small RNA is filed under the name Histoplasma ohiense. Its description in RNAcentral is "hypothetical lncRNA". Lineage: Eukaryota; Fungi; Ascomycota; Eurotiomycetes; Onygenales; Ajellomycetaceae. The record is from RNAcentral.